RNAcentral lists this ribosomal RNA (465 nucleotides) under Vreelandella stevensii. RNAcentral describes it as "partial 16S ribosomal RNA". It matches the Rfam family "Bacterial small subunit ribosomal RNA", at positions 338 to 795 of the family's 1533-position model. The record is from RNAcentral. Lineage: Bacteria; Pseudomonadati; Pseudomonadota; Gammaproteobacteria; Oceanospirillales; Halomonadaceae.
CCUACGGGCGGCAGCAGUGGGGAAUAUUGGACAAUGGGGGCAACCCUGAUCCAGCCAUGCCGCGUGUGUGAAGAAGGCCCUCGGGUUGUAAAGCACUUUCAGUGAGGAAGAACGCCUGGUGGUUAAUACCCAUCAGGAAAGACAUCACUCACAGAAGAAGCACCGGCUAACUCCGUGCCAGCAUCCGCGGUAAUACGGAGGGUGCGAGCGUUAAUCGGAAUUACUGGGCGUAAAGCGCGCGUAGGUGGCUUGAUAAGCCGGUUGUGAAAGCCCCGGGCUCAACCUGGGAACGGCAUCCGGAACUGUCAAGCUAGAGUGCAGGAGAGGAAGGUAGAAUUCCCGGUGUAGCGGUGAAAUGCGUAGAGAUCGGGAGGAAUACCAGUGGCGAAGGCGGCCUUCUGGACUGACACUGACACUGAGGUGCGAAAGCGUGGGUAGCAAACAGGAUUAGAUACCCCAGUAGUC